Molecule: ribosomal RNA, 459 nt
Filed under: uncultured bacterium
Lineage: Bacteria
Description: partial 16S ribosomal RNA
Rfam family: Bacterial small subunit ribosomal RNA
Source: RNAcentral
CCUACGGGUGGCAGCAGUGAGGAAUAUUGGUCAAUGGCCGAGAGGCUGAACCAGCCAAGUCGCGUGAGGGAAGACGGCCCUACGGGUUGUAAACCUCUUUUGUCGGGGAGCAAAGCGAGUCACGUGUGACUCAUUGAGAGUACCCGAAGAAAAAGCAUCGGCUAACUCCGUGCCAGCAGCCGCGGUAGUACGGAGGAUGCGAGCGUUAUCCGGAUUUAUUGGGUUUAAAGGGUGCGCAGGCGGAGGUGCAAGUCAGCGGUAAAAUUGCGGGGCUCAACCCCGUACUGCCGUUGAAACUGCAUCCCUUGAGUGCGCGAGAGGUAUGCGGAAUGCGUGGUGUAGCGGUGAAAUGCAUAGAUAUCACGCAGAACUCCGAUUGCGAAGGCAGCAUACCGGCGCGCAACUGACGUUGAUGCACGAAAGCGUGGGUAUCGAACAGGAUUAGAUACCCCAGUAGUC